Molecule: small nuclear RNA, 107 nt
Filed under: Mustela putorius furo (domestic ferret)
Lineage: Eukaryota; Metazoa; Chordata; Mammalia; Carnivora; Mustelidae
Source: RNAcentral
GAGCUCACUUUGGCAGCACGUAUACUAAAAUUGGAAUGAUACAGAGAAGAUCAGCAUAGCCCCUGUGCAAGAAUGAAAUGCAAAUUCAUGAAAUGGUGCAUAUUUUU